Molecule: long non-coding RNA, 4398 nt
Organism: Canis lupus familiaris (dog)
Lineage: Eukaryota; Metazoa; Chordata; Mammalia; Carnivora; Canidae
Exons: 2
Source: RefSeq, a predicted model, not a curated record
CAGCCCUCAGGGGUUCUUCAGGAGGAACUGCUCUGUGUGUAGGUGUAUGCAGAUUUAGGGAGCUCAGGGUCGUUCUACUUGUUCAGGUUAGAACUCUUACGUGUCAGCGUCUGAUUAGGUGUCAACACUGUAGAACUUACUACUCAAGAUACUAACCAGAGAAGAUAGUUAUAACCAGAGAAGAUAGUUAUAGCCCCUAAAGCUACUUAUACCAACUUGCCACCUAAUGUGGUCCCUUCAAAUCAAUUGACUAUGAACAAAGUAAUAAUCAAUUUUGGUGACAACCCAGCUUGAACAAGUAGACAAGUUAAGCUAACUUCUCAAUUUUUAUUUACAAAAGUACAGUAUCUGAAGGCAACAGGCAAUAGCAGGGGACUAGUCUUUAUACAGUCACAGCUUAGUAGUUGGGUCUCCUUUCUGGUCAAGGAGCUUCUCUAAUCGAUGGUUGAUAUUUUGCAGGUGGUUUUCAGCUCCCAAAAGGGCUCUCGCUGUCACUAACAGAGCUGGAAGGCUGGAUGAAUCAUACUGUUGAAGGAAAAUCAUAUUUAGAUUAUCAAGUUUAAAAAACUUCUAUAAUCUUAUUUGUUACACAGCUCAGUGUUAAGUAGAGCUUUGCAUUAACUUUUUUUUUUUCAAUUAGGAUCAUUAAAAAAAUUGGGUUAAUCCUUUUUCUUAGGGCAGAAGUAACAAGGUUAUAAGGGAACUGUUCUAGAAAGUGUAGGCUGGUCUCCUCUCAGAAGACCAGUUGGUUCCAAGAACGGCGGCAUCUAAACUAUUUAAAACAAAAUCAUUCCUCAUACAGAUUGAGACAGAGUUUGGGCAAGUCCGCUGACCUCAAGCCUAUUUUAAACCCAGAAAACUCUAAGGCAGCUGCACUUUUACUGGAAGAACUAUGGGAAGGGCAACACCAGGCCACAGAAGUUCAAGAGGAAAAAAGUCGUCACCCAGAAAAACCGAUGGGGAAGGUUAAAGGCAAAAUUAGGAUCUAACCCAACAUAAAAUAGAAAUCAAAUCGUGAGGCUGAGCUGCAUGCUGUAACCAUAGCUGAGGACAAGGGACUGUGCUCCCCCUGCAAGUGUGCUCACACUGAGGAUAAGGGUGUAAUUUCAUGUUUUCAAGGUGUUUUCCUUACUAUUGACAAGAGCAGCUUUCAGCAGAUUCCUACCACCACAUAAUCGGUUCUUUCUAGACUAUAACCUGUUACUACUCUGGACUCCAGUCAGAGACACUGAGAGCCUGAUGCAGCCCAGCUGGCAGGGCCACUUGCUCUCAGGCAGGCGACAGCAGGCGACAGGGGGGAGCACUGACACUUGGUGGAAGAUCUCUGGUUUAGGAGAGACGACAUGCACACAAAUACCAACUGCCGGAAAGGAAGACACUACCAGAGAGCACAGAAGGCCUGCGGGCACACAAAGAACACAUUAGAGUAGUGUACCCCACAAAGUCGAAUCCCGUCCAAACUCCAGCAGGGCCACGAACAUCUCUAGUCCCCAACCCCAAGUAAGCUUUAGACUAGUUGGCAAACUAGUCACAGAAAGCAUUCAUUGAGAAGAUCUAAUUUCUAUUUUCAGAUCUAAUACACAGACAAACUUAAGGCUUUUAAGCUAGUGGAAAAAACUUAAAAUUGAACAUAGGGAAGAAUAUAAAUAUGAUAAGAUACAUGUAUUUACAUUUCAUAUUAAGUUAUAUUCGUUUUUUUUCCUAUAAUUUAAAUUUCUAUUGAUCUGAGCUGGUUAGCCUAACAAUAGCAUCAUCUGCAGCAAAAAUCCAAAAGCCACAAGUUGUAUUAAAAUAACCCCACCUUUCCCUACUGUGUCCCUUCUGUGUGUCCCAACUUCUAAAAUUACACCUACCAGGUAAAGGGGAGAAUGGUUUUUUUCAGGUAAAAGAAAAGCUACCAUGAGCAAGGGUGGAACAAAAGAAAAGCCGUGUGGCCUUCCAGUGAUGAGUGUACGAAGCAAAGUGGUGUGAGCGCGGCAUACAGAGGACACCCCUCUCUUGCCCAGUCGUUUCUCUUAACGCGCAAAUAUGUUCAUAAAGUCAGCGUGUCCAGACCAUCCUCUAUUCCUCUAGCCUUAAGUAGCCUGAGCCGAUGGAUUCGCAGCGCUGCUGUGUGGGCAGACUGGAAUCUGCACCCACAUCUCUCCCCAGAGCUCCCGCGGAAGUACUCCACCGUGCAAAUGCCCUGAACCUUCUCAAUCACAGUGAAUUUUAAAAAUUGCAGUUACCGUUUCCUUUACGUGAGGUUCUUUCUCUCGAAUAGCUGAAUAAUCUUGAUGAAGCUGUUUCAGGUUAGAUAAGAAGCCUGCGGCAUCCCUAAGGGAAGAUUUUCUCUCCGUGAGUUCAUCAUGCUUUAUCUGGAGUUGCUUCAUCUGUGGUUCUAACCUGCAACACAAGAGUUUCCCCUAAAUGAAGGCCUCCAGGAAAGUGUAACAGCCUUGGGGGAAGAGGCCGAGUGUGCAAGGGAAGGGGCUAGGGCUUUGAAGAGGCCUUCAGUUAUGAAAUUAUGAAUGUGUGAUGGGGUCUAGAUUUCAAUUUAAAAUAUAGACAAAACUAGGGCAGCCCCGGUGGCUCAGCAGUUUAGCGCCACCUUCGGCCUGGGGUGUGAUCCUGGAGACCCCGGAUCGAGUUCCACGUGGCUCCCUGCAUGGAGCCUGCUACUCCCUCUGCCUGUGUCUCUGCCUCUCUCUGUCUCUAUUAAAAAAAAGAAAAAAAAAACUAAAUAUAGACAAAACUCUGAAAUAUGAUACAGAGUAAUUAGAAAUGAAACCCUGAGAAGAAAGAUGCCUCGCACAUCCUACAACCCAGUUGGCCAUUUAGAGGGACUCCAGGGAUCUCCAGCAUCUCCUGCAUGACAGCAACGUGGCCAGCUCCUCCCACCCUUGGGCGGGGACGUGGGCCCCCCCGGCAUAGCAGCGGAAGCACAGCAGGGCCUGGCCUUUGCCCAGUUCCCAACAUCUAGUAAAACCGGAGGAAAAACUUCCAGAGCGCCUGGGUGGAAAAUGCACGGCUCCUGGAAGCAGACGGCCGAGCCUUAUUUCUCCACUGCGUUCCCGCAGCCCUCAGCUCACACGGCAGGUGCCGGCCUCGGGAGGUGACCACGGGGACAGCCCGGGGGGACACCCCGGCCGCUCUCCAAGCCCCGCACGUGGCGAGGGCCUGCGCCAGCACCACACUGACAGCAACAACCCUGUGAGCUCUACAGGGCGCUCGCCGAACUUGGCGUGUUUACGCACUUGGUUCUCCAGCACCCGGCCGGUACGUGAGGCUCCCUGUUGGCAGGCGUGCUGGAGGCUGCUCCGCCGCUAGCACGGCCCCAAGGCGGCCUGGCCCAGAGCCUCUGCACGUGGCCACCAGCAGGUGGCGGGAGGUCAGCGCUCAGGGCUCCUCGGCCGACAGCUCCGGCUCGCAGCGCCUUCCCCAGCUGCCAGGCUCAGGGACGCCGGGAUGCGGGCCCAUGACAGACCCCAGGGGCCAGUGGCCGGGCCGUGGCUAAAUCCUUCCCAGCAAGUUCUGGGCGGUUCUGGCGUCACCUUACCGAAGCAGUUCAUUCUGGAGUUCAAGCAGAUGCUGCCUCUUCUUCUCAAUAUCGGAAAUAACCUAAAGUGACACGAGGAUUUGUUAAAAUCUCUCCUUAAAUCUGUGCGCGAUGCUUGCUCCCCGGAACCAGGUGUUAGAGAUGCGGUGGGAGACAGACUCCCCGCAGCCCCCAGAACUGGGCUCGGAGGGGCAGAGACCCGGCAUCACAGCGCAUGGGGCUGGGGGGCGAUGGGUGCUGCCGGGGGGAGCCGGGGACGGGACCGGUGGGAACGCAGGCAGUGGGGCCAGGGCUUCACCCCCCGUGAGCUGCCCAGGACGGCCUUGGCCGCUUCUGUAGGUGUGCCGGGAAAACACGAGGAGGACAGUGCCCUGAGCCAGCCCGUAUUUAUCAUCUUUUAGGGACGACCAGACGUCCCACAGCUGGACAUUCAGACUGUUCCCACUUGCUGGUAAGUAACGCAGAGGUGACCAGUAAGGAAUAAAACUGAAGGAAAAAGCCUGUAAUCACUGAAACAACAAUGUGUGCAUCGCAAAUCCACUGCUAUUAUAAAUGUCGAGGGGGAACUGCUCCUUCACGCCUGGAUUCAUGCAAGUUUACAGCUCGGAGGUCACCUGGGUCGCCCAUAAACUGAUGGGUGUUCACUGGCUUGUUUCUCCUCACAUAUCCUAGGGAUAUGUGAAGCAUUUCCAAGAAGAUGGUACAAGAUCGAAGUAGCGGAACCAGGGCAAGAAAUGUCCUUCACCCCACCCCUAACGCCGUAGUCUUCCCAUGCCGUCCCUUGACAUGGGACAGUUCUUAUUCUACAAGGUUUUACUCUUUGACAGUCAUAAAAGCCAUAAAUAUAUGUUACUUAACAA